CUGCCGUGGGCGCUGGAGAAUUGAGGGGGGCUGCUCCUAGUACGAGAGGACCGGAGUGGACGCAUCACUGGUGUUCGGGUUGUCAUGCCAAUGGCACUGCCCGGUAGCUAAAUGCGGAAGAGAUAAGUGCUGAAAGCAUCUAAGCACGAAACUUGCCCCGAGAUGAGUUCUCCCUGAGACUAUAAGUCUCCUGAAGGAACGUUGAAGACGACGACGUUGAUAGGCCGGGUGUGUAAGCGCAGCGAUGCGUUGAGCUAACCGGUACUAAUGAACCGUGAGGCUUAACCUU
Molecule: ribosomal RNA, 289 nt
Filed under: Klebsiella quasipneumoniae
Lineage: Bacteria; Pseudomonadati; Pseudomonadota; Gammaproteobacteria; Enterobacterales; Enterobacteriaceae
Description: partial 23S rRNA. Bacterial LSU
Rfam family: Bacterial large subunit ribosomal RNA
Source: RNAcentral